CACAUGCAGUCGAACGAAGCACUUUAUUACAAUUUCUUCGGAAUGACGAUUUAGUGACUGAGUGGCGGACGGGUGAGUAACGCGUGGGUAACCUGCCUUAUACAGGGGGAUAACAGUUAGAAAUGACUGCUAAUACCGCAUAAGCGCACAGGAUUGCAUGAUCUGGUGUGAAAAACUCCGGUGGUAUAAGAUGGACCCGCGUCUGAUUAGCUGGUUGGUGAGGUAACGGCCCACCAAGGCGACGAUCAGUAGCCGACCUGAGAGGGUGACCGGCCACAUUGGGACUGAGACACGGCCCAAACUCCUACGGGAGGCAGCAGUGGGGAAUAUUGCACAAUGGGGGAAACCCUGAUGCAGCGACGCCGCGUGAGCGAAGAAGUAUUUCGGUAUGUAAAGCUCUAUCAGCAGGGAAGAAAAAAUGACGGUACCUGACUAAGAAGCCCCGGCUAACUACGUGCCAGCAGCCGCGGCAAUACGUAGGGGGCAAGCGUUAUCCGGAUUUACUGGGUGUAAAGGGAGCGCAGGCGGUGCGGCAAGUCUGAUGUGAAAGCCCGGGGCUCAACCCCGGGACUGCAUUGGAAACUGUCGUACUUGAGUAUCGGAGAGGUAAGUGGAAUUCCUAGUGUAGCGGUGAAAUGCGUAGAUAUUAGGAGGAACACCAGUGGCGAAGGCGGCUUACUGGACGAUAACUGACGCUGAGGCUCGAAAGCGUGGGGAGCAAACAGGAUUAGAUACCCUGGUAGUCCACGCCGUAACGAUGAAUACUAGGUGUCGGGGGACAUAGUCCUUCGGUGCCGCAGCAAACGCAAUAAGUAUUCCACCUGGGGAGUACGUUCGCAAGAAUGAAACUCAAAGG
RNAcentral lists this ribosomal RNA (856 nucleotides) under uncultured bacterium. RNAcentral's name for it is "bacterial SSU rRNA". It matches the Rfam family "Bacterial small subunit ribosomal RNA", at positions 52 to 907 of the family's 1533-position model. The record is from RNAcentral.